Molecule: ribosomal RNA, 253 nt
Filed under: uncultured bacterium
Lineage: Bacteria
Description: partial 16S ribosomal RNA
Rfam family: Bacterial small subunit ribosomal RNA
Source: RNAcentral
UACGAAGGGGGCUAGCGUUGCUCGGAAUCACUGGGCGUAAAGCGCACGUAGGCGGAUUCUUAAGUCGGUGGUGAAAUCCUGGAGCUCAACUCCAGAACUGCCUUCGAUACUGAGAGUCUCGAGUCCGGGAGAGGUGAGUGGAACUGCGAGUGUAGAGGUGAAAUUCGUAGAUAUUCGCAAGAACACCAGUGGCGAAGGCGGCUCACUGGCCCGGUACUGACGCUGAGGUGCGAAAGCGUGGGGAGCAAACAGG